This 509-nucleotide ribosomal RNA is filed under the name uncultured bacterium. RNAcentral describes it as "partial 16S ribosomal RNA". It matches the Rfam family "Bacterial small subunit ribosomal RNA", at positions 28 to 506 of the family's 1533-position model. The record is from RNAcentral.
GACGAACGCUGGCGGCGUGCUUAACACAUGCAAGUCGAACGAAGAGCGAUGGAAGCUUGCUUCUAUCAAUCUUAGUGGCGAACGGGUGAGUAACGCGUAAUCAACCUGCCCUUCAGAGGGGGACAACAGUUGGAAACGACUGCUAAUACCGCAUACGAUCUAAUCUCGGCAUCGAGGAUAGAUGAAAGGUGGCCUCUACAUGUAAGCUAUCAUUGAAGGAGGGGAUUGCGUCGGAUUAGCUAGUAGGAGGGGUAACGGCCCACCACGGCGAUGAUCAGUAGCCGGUCUGAGAGGAUGAUCGGCCACAUUGGGACUGAGACACGGCCCAGACUCCUACGGGAGGCAGCAGUGGGGAAUCUUCCGCAAUGGACGAAAGUCUGACGGAGCAACGCCGCGUGAGUGAUGACGGCCUUCGGGUUGUAAAGCUCUGUUAAUCGGGACGAAAGGCCUUCUUGCGAAUAGUGAGAAGGAUUGACGGUACCGGAAUAGAAAGCCACGGCUAACUACGU